Molecule: ribosomal RNA, 568 nt
Filed under: uncultured bacterium
Lineage: Bacteria
Description: bacterial SSU rRNA
Rfam family: Bacterial small subunit ribosomal RNA
Source: RNAcentral
CCUACGGGAGGCAGCAGUGGGGAAUAUUGCACAAUGGGCGAAAGCCUGAUGCAGCGACGCCGCGUGAGGGAUGACGGCCUUCGGGUUGUAAACCUCUUUCAGCAGGGAAGAAGCGAAAGUGACGGUACCUGCAGAAGAAGCGCCGGCUAACUACGUGCCAGCAGCCGCGGUAAUACGUAGGGCGCAAGCGUUGUCCGGAAUUAUUGGGCGUAAAGAGCUCGUAGGCGGCUUGUCACGUCGGAUGUGAAAGCCCGAGGCUUAACCUCGGGUCUGCAUUCGAUACGGGCUAGCUAGAGUGUGGUAGGGGAGAUCGGAAUUCCUGGUGUAGCGGUGAAAUGCGCAGAUAUCAGGAGGAACACCGGUGGCGAAGGCGGAUCUCUGGGCCAUUACUGACGCUGAGGAGCGAAAGCGUGGGGAGCGAACAGGAUUAGAUACCCUGGUAGUCCACGCCGUAAACGUUGGGAACUAGGUGUUGGCGACAUUCCACGUCGUCGGUGCCGCAGCUAACGCAUUAAGUUCCCCGCCUGGGGAGUACGGCCGCAAGGCUAAAACUCAAAGGAAUUGACGG